This 936-nucleotide ribosomal RNA is filed under the name uncultured archaeon. RNAcentral's name for it is "bacterial SSU rRNA". It matches the Rfam family "Archaeal small subunit ribosomal RNA", at positions 10 to 922 of the family's 1478-position model. The record is from RNAcentral.
GAUCCUGCCGGACCCCACUGCUAUCGGGUUGAGACUAAGCCAUGCGAGUCAUACACUUCUAAGCUAUGUUAGGAGCGUGGCACACGGCUCAGUAACACGUGGUUAAUCUACCCUUAGGACAAAAAUAACCUCGGGAAACUGAGGCUAAUGUUUGAUAAAUGAAAAAACCUGGAAUGGUUUUUCAUUUAAAGGGUAUAGAGAACAUGCUUUCUAUAUCGCCUAAGGAUGAGACCGCGCCCGAUCAGGUAGUUGGUGAGGUAACGGCUCACCAAGCCUAUAACCGGUACGGGCCCUGAGAGGGGAAGCCCGGAGAUGGGAACUGAGGCAAGGUCCCAGGCCCUACGGGGCGCAGCAGGCGCGAAACCUUCGCAAUGCGCGAAAGCGUGACGAGGUUAGCCCGAGUGCCGUCCGCUGAGGAUGGCUUUUACUCGGUGUAAGGAGCCGAGGGAAUAAGGGGAGGGCAAGUCUGGUGUCAGCCGCCGCGGUAAUACCAGCUCCCCGAGUAGUGGGGACGAUUAUUUGGCCUAAAGCGUCCGUAGCCAGUCUAACAAGUCUCUCGUCAAAUCUGACGACCUAAUUGUCAGGGUGCGAGAGAUACUGUUAGACUAGAGGGCGAGAGAGGUCGACGGUAGUCCCGGGGUAGGGGUGAAAUCCUAUAAUCCCGGGAGGACCACCAGUGGCAAAGGCGGUCGACUAGAGCGUGCCUGACGGUGAGGGACGAAAGCUGGGGGAGCGAACCGGAUUAGAUACCCGGGUAGUCCCAGCUGUAAACGAUGCAGGCUAGGUGUUGGGGCGGCUACGAGCCACCCCAGUGCCGCAGGGAAGCCGUUAAGCCUGCCGCCUGGGAAGUACGGUCGCAAGGCUGAAACUUAAAGGAAUUGGCGGGGGAGCACCACAAGGGGUGAAGGCUGCGGUUUAAUUGGAUUCAACGCCGGG